RNAcentral lists this ribosomal RNA (460 nucleotides) under uncultured bacterium. RNAcentral's name for it is "partial 16S ribosomal RNA". It matches the Rfam family "Bacterial small subunit ribosomal RNA", at positions 338 to 795 of the family's 1533-position model. The record is from RNAcentral.
CCUACGGGAGGCAGCAGUGAGGAAUAUUGGUCAAUGGCCGUAAGGCUGAACCAGCCAAGCCGCGUGAAGGAAGAAGGAACUACGGUUUGUAAACCUCUUUUAUAGGGGAAUAAAGGUAUCCACGUGUGGAUAUUUGCAUGUACCCUAUGAAUAAGCAUCGGCUAACUCCGUGCCAGCAGCCGCGGUAAUACGGAGGAUGCGAGCGUUAUCCGGAUUUAUUGGGUUUAAAGGGUGCGUAGGUGGUCUUUUAAGUCAGCGGUGAAAGGUUGUGGCUCAACCAUAAAGUUGCCGUUGAAACUGGAAGACUUGAGUGUGUUUGAGGUAGGCGGAAUGCGUGGUGUAGCGGUGAAAUGCAUAGAUAUCACGCAGAACCCCGAGUGCGAAGGCAGCUUACUAGGCCAUAACUGACACUGAGGCACGAAAGCGUGGGGAUCAAACAGGAUUAGAUACCCUUGUAGUC